UACGGAGGGGGCGAGCGUUAUUCGGAAUUAUUGGGCGUAAAGGGCGCGUAGGCGGCUGUACAAGUCAAAGGUGAAAUCCCUCGGCUCAACUGAGGAACUGCCUUUGAAACUGUAUGCUUGAGGCCGGGAGGGGGUAGCGGAAUUCCCAGUGUAGCGGUGAAAUGCGUAGAUACUGGGAGGAACACCAGUGGCGAAGGCGCUACCUGGACCGGUUCUGACGCUGAGGCGCGAAAGCGUGGGUAGCAAACAGG
Molecule: ribosomal RNA, 251 nt
Filed under: uncultured bacterium
Lineage: Bacteria
Description: partial 16S ribosomal RNA
Rfam family: Bacterial small subunit ribosomal RNA
Source: RNAcentral